GCCUCCUCGUUUACUGUGAAAAAAUUAGAGUGUUCAAGGCAGGCGGCUUCUCGCACAUGAAUACAUUAGCAUGGAAUAAUAAGAUACGACAUCUGGUCUAUUUUGUUGGUUUGCGACUGGGUGUAAUGAUAAACAGGAACAGUUGGGGGUAUUCGUAUUCGGUUGUCAGAGGUGAAAUUCUUGGAUUUACUGAAGACGAACUACUGCGAAAGCAUUUACCAAGGAUGUUUUCAUUAAUCAAGAACGAAAGUUUGGGGAUCGAAGAUGAUUAGAUACCAUCGUAGUCUAAACCAUAAACAA
Molecule: ribosomal RNA, 300 nt
Filed under: uncultured Entomoneis
Lineage: Eukaryota; Bacillariophyta; Bacillariophyceae; Surirellales; Surirellaceae
Description: bacterial SSU rRNA
Rfam family: Eukaryotic small subunit ribosomal RNA
Source: RNAcentral